Molecule: ribosomal RNA, 506 nt
Filed under: uncultured bacterium
Lineage: Bacteria
Description: partial 16S ribosomal RNA
Rfam family: Bacterial small subunit ribosomal RNA
Source: RNAcentral
AGUGAACGCUGGCGGUAGGCCUAAUACAUGCAAGUCGAACGGCAGCACAGGAGAGCUUGCUCUCUGGGUGGCGAGUGGCGGACGGGUGAGGAAUACAUCGGAAUCUACUUUUUCGUGGGGGAUAACGUAGGGAAACUUACGCUAAUACCGCAUACGACCUACGGGUGAAAGCAGGGGAUCUUCGGACCUUGCGCGAUUGAAUGAGCCGAUGUCGGAUUAGCUAGUUGGCGGGGUAAAGGCCCACCAAGGCGACGAUCCGUAGCUGGUCUGAGAGGAUGAUCAGCCACACUGGAACGGAGACACGGUCCAGACUCCUACGGGAGGCAGCAGUGGGGAAUAUUGGACAAUGGGCGCAAGCCUGAUCCAGCCAUACCGCGUGGGUGAAGAAGGCCUUCGGGUUGUAAAGCCCUUUUGUUGGGAAAGAAAUCCAGCUGGUUAAUACCCGGUUGGGAUGACGGUACCCAAAGAAUAAGCACCGGCUAACUUCGUGCCAGCAGCCGCGGUAA